RNAcentral lists this ribosomal RNA (560 nucleotides) under Candida dubliniensis. RNAcentral's name for it is "eukaryotic LSU rRNA". It matches the Rfam family "Eukaryotic large subunit ribosomal RNA", at positions 47 to 617 of the family's 3401-position model. Lineage: Eukaryota; Fungi; Ascomycota; Pichiomycetes; Serinales; Debaryomycetaceae. The record is from RNAcentral.
UAAGCGGAGGAAAAGAAACCAACAGGGAUUGCCUCAGUAGCGGCGAGUGAAGCGGCAAAAGCUCAAAUUUGAAAUCUGGCGUCUUUGGCGUCCGAGUUGUAAUUUGAAGAAGGUAUCUUUGGGCCCGGCUCUUGUCUAUGUUCCUUGGAACAGGACGUCACAGAGGGUGAGAAUCCCGUGCGAUGAGAUGGCCCGGGUCUAUGUAAAGUUCCUUCGACGAGUCGAGUUGUUUGGGAAUGCAGCUCUAAGUGGGUGGUAAAUUCCAUCUAAAGCUAAAUAUUGGCGAGAGACCGAUAGCGAACAAGUACAGUGAUGGAAAGAUGAAAAGAACUUUGAAAAGAGAGUGAAAAAGUACGUGAAAUUGUUGAAAGGGAAGGGCUUGAGAUCAGACUUGGUAUUUUGCAAGUUACUCUUUCGGGGGUGGCCUCUGCGGUUUACCGGGCCAGCAUCGGUUUGGAGCGGUAGGAUAAUGGCGGGGGAAUGUGGCACGACUUUGGUUGUGUGUUAUAGCCUCUGACGAUACUGCCAGCCUAGACCGAGGACUGCGGUUUUUACCUAGG